Molecule: transfer RNA, 94 nt
Filed under: Candidatus Omnitrophota bacterium
Lineage: Bacteria; Pseudomonadati; Candidatus Omnitrophota
Description: Candidatus Omnitrophica bacterium tRNA-Ser
Rfam family: tRNA
About the family: Transfer RNA (tRNA) molecules are approximately 80 nucleotides in length.
Source: RNAcentral
GGAGAGGUCGCAUAGUGGCCUAGUGCGGCGGUUUGCUAAACCGCUAUACGGUUGAAAAGCUGUAUCCAGGGUUCGAAUCCCUGCCUCUCCGCCA